This 253-nucleotide ribosomal RNA is filed under the name uncultured bacterium. RNAcentral describes it as "partial 16S ribosomal RNA". It matches the Rfam family "Bacterial small subunit ribosomal RNA", at positions 524 to 776 of the family's 1533-position model. The record is from RNAcentral.
UACGUAGGGCCCGAGCGUUGUCCGGAAUCAUUGGGCGUAAAGCGCGUGUCGGCGGCUAUUUAAGUCCUGCGUGAAAUCCUGCGGCUCAACCGCAGACGGUCGUGGGAAACUGGAUGGCUAGAGUGCGGGAGAGGAGAGUGGAAUUCCCGGUGUAGCGGUGAAAUGCGCAGAUAUCGGGAAGAACACCCGUGGCGAAGGCGGCUCUCUGGAACGCAACUGACGCUGAGACGCGAAAGCGUGGGGAGCAAACAGG